This 449-nucleotide ribosomal RNA is filed under the name uncultured bacterium. RNAcentral's name for it is "bacterial SSU rRNA". It matches the Rfam family "Bacterial small subunit ribosomal RNA", at positions 29 to 506 of the family's 1533-position model. The record is from RNAcentral.
AUGAAUGCUGGCGGCGUGCCUAACACAUGCAAGUCGAGCGGCAGCGCGGAUAGUUUACUAUCUGGCGGCGAGCGGCGGACGGCUGAGUAACGCGUGGGAACGUACCCCAAAGUGAGGAAUAACCGCCCGAAAGGGUGGCUAAUGCCGCAUAUGAUCUUCGGAUUAAAGGAUUUAUCCGCUUUGGGAACGGCCUGCGUACGAUUAGAUAGUUGGUGAGGUAAAGGCUCACCAAGUCGACGAUCGUUAACUGGUCUGAGAGGAUGAUCAGUCAGACUGGAACUGAGACACGGUCCAGACUCCUACGGGAGGCAGCAGUGAGGAAUCUUCCACAAUGGGCGAAAGCCUGAUGGAGCAACGCCGCGUGCAGGAUGAAGGCCUUCGGGUCGUAAACUGCUUUUAAAAGUGAAGAAUAUGACGGUAGCUUUUGAAUAAGCACCGGCUAACUACGU